RNAcentral lists this long non-coding RNA (845 nucleotides) under Homo sapiens (human). RNAcentral describes it as "long non-coding RNA NONHSAT207268.1". The record is from RNAcentral. Lineage: Eukaryota; Metazoa; Chordata; Mammalia; Primates; Hominidae.
GCCAUGAGGUAUCAGGCUGGGAGCGGCUGCCCCUGCCAGUGUCAGCAGAAGUUAGCAACCUGCUCCAUGCUCCGAGCCAGGUGAUGGGCCCAGAAGGAGGAAAAACAGCAGGUCCACAGCGGCGGCCUGGAGACCAGAACAGUCUGCCCCUGUCUCCAAACCAGGACAGCCACGGGUUUGAGAUCCUGGGGGGAAAAAACAUGGCAGGCCCAUCCAAGCUCACCCAACCUCCUCAACCCCCAUGGAGAGCUGGGGUUCAACAUCGAUCUUAUAGUCACUCUGGACUUAGUCAGUAUGGGACCCAGUCCCUUGCAGAAGCCCAUGGAUUUGGAAAUGGCAGACCCAACCCUUUUCAUUCCCUGCUCCUACCAGCAUAUUUUCAGAAACCCCAUGCCUGGAAUAAGAAUCAUGGGGUGCCACUGCACCCCAAGCUCAUGCCUGCCUUCUCCAGCUCAGAGCUCUGACGCAGUUGCACACGCUUAGGCGCAGGGCCAUGCACACCACGUGGCCUGAGUUUGGAGCAGAGAGGUGCUGGGGCUACCACUCCAGCCCUGCCCUGUACUGGAGUUUCCACCCGCACAGACCUCAGUGAGGACCCCACCCACGUAUGGUCAUGGGGCAAAUCCUACUGAUGCACUGCCAAGUUAAUGUGGUGACCCUGAGCAAGUCCCUGGCACUGCCAAGUUAAUGUGGUGACCCUGAGCAAGUCCCUGACUCUCUCAAUUUCGGUUCUCAUGUCCAUACCAUACAAUUUGGGCUUUUUUUUUUUCUUUUUUCGUCUUGAGACAGGAUCUCACUAUGUUGCCCAGUCUGGUCUUGAACUCCUGGGCUCAAGCAAGCCUCUC